UACGAAGGGGGCUAGCGUUGCUCGGAAGCACUGGGAGUAAAGGGUGCGUAGGCGGGUAUUUAAGUCAGGGGUGAAAUCCUGGAGCUCAACUCCAGAACUGCCUUUGAUACUGAAGAUCUUGAGUUCGGGAGAGGUGAGUGGAACUGCGAGUGUAGAGGUGAAAUUCGUAGAUAUUCGCAAGAACACCAGUGGCGAAGGCGGCUCACUGGCCCGAUACUGACGCUGAGGUGCGAAAGCGUGGGGAGCAAACAGG
This 253-nucleotide ribosomal RNA is filed under the name uncultured bacterium. RNAcentral's name for it is "partial 16S ribosomal RNA". It matches the Rfam family "Bacterial small subunit ribosomal RNA", at positions 524 to 776 of the family's 1533-position model. The record is from RNAcentral.